GUGAGGAAUAUUGCGCAAUGGAGGCAACUCUGACGCAGCCAUGCCGCGUGCAGGAAGAAGGCGCUACGCGUUGUAAACUGCUUUUAACCGGGAAGAAACCCCAGGACGUGUCCUGGGUUGACGGUACCGGAGGAAUAAGCACCGGCUAACUUCGUGCCAGCAGCCGCGGUAAUACGAAGGGUGCAAGCGUUAUCCGGAUUCAUUGGGUUUAAAGGGUGCGUAGGCGGAGCGUUAAGUCAGUGGUGAAAUCCUGCAGCUUAACUGUAGACUUGCCAUUGAUACUGGCGAUCUUGAGUGCGCUUGAAGUGGGCGGAAUGUGCCGUGUAGCGGUGAAAUGCUUAGAUAUGGCACAGAACACCAAUUGCGAAGGCAGCUCACUAAGGCGAUACUGACGCUGAGGCACGAAAGCGUGGGGAUCGAACAGGAUUAGAAACCCGAGUAGUCC
This 445-nucleotide ribosomal RNA is filed under the name uncultured bacterium. RNAcentral describes it as "partial 16S ribosomal RNA". It matches the Rfam family "Bacterial small subunit ribosomal RNA", at positions 354 to 796 of the family's 1533-position model. The record is from RNAcentral.